UUUCCGGUUUUCCGUUCUGGUUUCUUUUUCCCAGGGAGAGAUGGGUAAAUAGCAAUGCUGCGUCUUCUGCCUGGAAGGCACAGACGCAGGGCACUCGUCACGUCUGGUAAGGGAUGGGGAAAAUAUGGAUCCUCUGACUCAGUGGCCGCCGUGUGGGUAUUCCUGUGUCAUGAGGAACACAUCAGCUUGGGAGCAUUAGCAUCCCGAGCGACAGUCACUACCUGCAGGGAGGUGAUAAGCUAAGCUUCCCAGUCCUUUGUCAGAUUAUAUAGUGACAACCGAGUGUAAUAAUUGGUGUUUCGUAUGAUGCCUUUUCCAACCAUCUCAGGCCAUUGGCCCGUCCUUCCUCUACGCUUCCAAUCAAUGUAUCACUGCUUCCACUAGAGUUGGCUACAAUGCAGUGUGAUUGUUUGGUCGUGAGUGUGGCUCUCAACCUUGACUGCUCUCUCUUCAAAAACAACCUUACUCCUCUGGUAAGCACAGAGCCGCUGCAUCCAUUGUAAGGCCUAAAAUGUCAUGGGCUGCUCGUCAUCUUCGAGUCUCACAGAGUCCCAAAGGCCUCAUUGCGAGUUCUCUCCUCUUGCCAGAUAUGCCGCCCACCCAGAGAGAAAGGCCGCCCCGCCCCUCUGACCAGCUCCCUGUCAGCCAGAUCAGCUGCACCCCACCCGGUCCUCAACCUCAUGGGUUCAACCUCCCCACCAGCUGCGAAGUCAUUCAAAGAAUCAGUCACAUCCUCCUGUGGGAACCAGGAGGCACUUCCUAUUCUCGUUGCUACAAAGCCUGGCUCCCUGAGCCCCACGUGGGACCGUGCCUGUCCUGUGGCACCCUCCGUCCCCAGACUGUGCGGCCCCGUGAAGCAGGCGAGACGGAAUUCUUUCCAUCCGAUGUCGGGACGAGGAGGCAGAGUCUCAGAAGUGUCGUCCUGCUCACAGUCACACAGUGGGGAACGGUCUUCAGAGACAGGACUCCGAGGAGCCAGCGUGGCGUUACGCAGGAGUGAGAGAAGCUUUCUCCUAAUCGACUCAUACGUGUUGCUUGUGAGAACCAGAGAGAGAGAGAGAAACUAUAAAACUAUCGCAGAGAUGAAGCUUCUCUUCGGGCCUGUCAUAUGUGGCUGUGCCUUCACUCAAGAAUACACGUGCUGAAGCUGUAACAGGACAAUGCAAACUUUAGCGAAGUCAGAAUCAUCAGGAGGACGUUAGAACUCAGGUGCCUAGGCCCCGCCCUCCAAGUUUCUGAUUCGGCGGGUCUAGGGCAGGCCCUAGCGCAGGGCCUGAAGAUUUACUGUUCUGGCAAGUUCCCAAGUAAUGCUGAUGUUCCCGAUCCCGGAACCAUGCUCUAAAAAAACACUGGAUCCGACACUCCCCAAACUGGUUAGCAGGAAAAAUUACACAGGGAGUAUUUUCUUUCUUUCAUUUCAGACUUCCUUCCCUUCCUCCCUCCCUCCCUCCCUCCUCCUCACUCUUAAGAGACUGAGCUGUCUAUGCCAAGGAUCAAAAAUCAACACUUUUUAAAAGCUUACACUGUAAUUUACAGACCCAACGCCUCUUCCUAAGGUGUUUGUAGUCGACUCACAGAAGAGAUCAUAAACACAUGGACGUCAUUAGAACUAAUUCAAAUGACAAAGAGAACUUGUUAAGUCCUAUGACUCUUUGUUCAGGUGAGAUCGAAAGGAACCCGAACGGAAGGAGGGUUCAUGAAGGAGGAAGCUGAUCGGUGAGGAUACAGAGGUGAAGUGUGGGGAGCACUCAAGGCAGAAGCGGCGGGGGGCAAGGGCGUAGUGGGGGUGAAAAGCGCUAGACGUGUUUGGAGACAAGGGAUUAACGCGCUUGGAGCGCAGCAUAGAGUAAAUAUCAUGGCACAGCGACAAUGAAAAAUCCAGGGAUCCAUUUCUCAGAUGGUUUGUGGUCAA
Molecule: long non-coding RNA, 1912 nt
Organism: Pteropus alecto (black flying fox)
Lineage: Eukaryota; Metazoa; Chordata; Mammalia; Chiroptera; Pteropodidae
Exons: 4
Source: RefSeq, a predicted model, not a curated record